UGGCAGAAAUAUUGAUUUAAAUGGUCUGA
RNAcentral lists this non-coding RNA (29 nucleotides) under Mus musculus (house mouse). The record is from RNAcentral. Lineage: Eukaryota; Metazoa; Chordata; Mammalia; Rodentia; Muridae.